RNAcentral lists this ribosomal RNA (501 nucleotides) under Stumpffia froschaueri. Its description in RNAcentral is "partial 16S ribosomal RNA". It matches the Rfam family "Bacterial large subunit ribosomal RNA", at positions 1862 to 2596 of the family's 2925-position model. The record is from RNAcentral. Lineage: Eukaryota; Metazoa; Chordata; Amphibia; Anura; Microhylidae.
CCCAGUGACUAACAGUUAAACGGCCGCGGUACCCUAACCGUGCAAAGGUAGCAUAAUCACUUGUUCUUUAAAUCAGGACUAGUAUGAAUGGCCCAACGAGGGCUAUACUGUCUCCCCCCUCUAAUCAGUGAAACUGAUCUCCUCGUGAAAAAGCGAGGAUAUAACUAUAAGACGAGAAGACCCCAUGGAACUUAAAACUAGUACCACCCCUCCACCCCAGGGCCACUCGACUACUAGUCUUUCGGCUGGGGCGACCCCGGAGAAAAAUAGAACCCCCGAGAUGAAAGGGAAUACCCUAAUCCCAGAACCACUAUUCAAAGAAUCCAUAAAUGACAUCAUUGAUCCAAUAUUUGAUCAACGAACCAAGCUACCCUGGGGAUAACAGCGCAAUCCAUUUCAAGAGACCCCAUCGACAAAUGGGCUUACGACCUCGAUGUUGGAUCAGGGAAUCCUAGUGGCGCAGCCGCUACCAAAGGUUCGUUUGUUCAACGAUUAAAACCC